ACGCGUUGACCAAUAGCGCUGCGUUUCCACCAGGGGGCAGCUGUCAAUCAUCGAGCACGAGCAGGUCUCAGCGUGCACAACAGUGUCACGCGCCUCACUCGGCUUACUGCAGAAACAUGGAGCAACAAAACCCCAAAUUACUGAUUCCUCGACUGCCUUCCACAUCUCAAAAAACAUUUAAAAAGUUUAAAAGCCCUUCUUCAAAAGUGGCUGUAAGACGUUUGAGACAGUUGAGUAGAAUUAACAUUGGAGAUUGUUUUACACACGAUGGAGAGAUUUUCGUGAUCUACACAGCCUGAAAACGGAUGAAGAGUUGGCAAAGUAUCUUUUAGACAGUCAUCAGUCCAAAUAUGAAGCAUCAACAUCUACACCAUUGAAGCGCCAACUGUGUAUUUCUCCAACACCAGUGCCAGCUCUGUCUAGCAUUCAUGGAGAAUCAUCUGAAAGGGAUGAUAAUUUGGAGGAGGUGAUGGAACAAGGUGAAACUAAAAAAGAAGGAUCUUCACAAAUGAUAGAGUCAUCAGAUGACACAUGGUCACCAAACAGAGAACCAGAAGUUGAUUCGUCUUCAGAGGAGGACGAAACCAUCUAGAUGGACAGCGGUACUGAUGACAGCGGUGAUGAGGACUACACACCUUAUAUACACAUAAGGACUGGAGCAGCAUUACAAAAAACAUUACAACUUGAGACUCUGCAAGAAAUUAACAUAGAGGAUACAGUUCAUGACUGUAAUAUCCCAGAAGCAACUGACCGACGUUUGACAAGCAAGAAAGGUCUUCCUCGACGCUACAAGCUAAGGCCUGAGGAUCCAAGGCGUUAUGGUUUGCUGUCCGGAGUUCCUGCACCAUCAACAGAGGAACUUCUACAACACCUACGGACUUGCGGUGAUGGUAAAACUUUGCCACAGACAUAGGUGUUGGGGGAGGCAAGAGAAAACCCAAAACCUUCUUUAUUUUUGUUUCCUGUGUUUUUUUUUGUUUGUUUUUUUGAAAAUAAAGAUAUAUUUUGGGGAAAUAAGGACUAAUAAUUUAAAAAUGUAUGUAAAAUGUUGGAGGUAGACAUAAUUUUUUGUUGUUGUGCAGGAGUUUUAAAAUUUAUGGUAUUUUUACAAAUGCAACACAGAGUUAUGCUUUAGAACACUUUAUUUGAGCAUCAAACAAAAAUAUCUAAAAACAAACUUAUGUAAAAUAUCAAAUAUAUACAUUUAUUUACAAUCGUCUUGGAAUAAAACCAGUGUAGUUACCAUUGGGGUCAGGGAAUUUUGCAGAAUAAAUCCUCCAUGUGUGGUACAGUUGAAAUACAUGUCUGGGGAGGCUGUUGGCAGCAUUUCUUUUCCAAAUCAGUUGGCAUAUCUCUGCAGUGGGAGCAUACACACCAUGAAGGUUGAUUGGGUGUUGGAUGUGUUGUGGCAGGUGGACCAGAGAGGGCAAGUACAUCAAAGAGAACACCAGUGUCUGUCCAGCACCAUGGUAAGGAUGUCAAUAGCCUGCUGAGGGUUCAGGUUCUGUAUGUGUUGCUACAAAAGUGGAAAGAGAUGCUACAGCAACAGUUAUGCUUACACGUUCAAAGUCUAUUCGCUCGGAACAAAGAUUCCGAACUCGAGAGAGAUCAUCUCCAAGGUCCACAGCUGAGUGUCUCACACUUCUUUGGCCUCUGGAUGCACCGCGGCCUCUAGACACACCACGGCCUCUGGAUGCACCACGGCUUUGAGAUGAUGGUGGGCAUCUCCUUUUUGCACCACGUCUUGAGGAUGCAAUAGGAGGUUCAAACUCUUCCUCAGAGGAUUCCUCAAUCACUGAACUCUAAAUU
Nothobranchius furzeri (turquoise killifish) is the source of this 1809-nucleotide non-coding RNA. Lineage: Eukaryota; Metazoa; Chordata; Actinopteri; Cyprinodontiformes; Nothobranchiidae. The record is from RefSeq and is a predicted model, not a curated record.